UCAGUACCGUGAGGGAAAGGCGAAAAGAACCCCGGGAGGGGAGUGAAAUAGAUCCUGAAACCGUGUGCGUACAAGCAGUAGGAGCUCGCAAGAGUGACUGCGUACCUUUUGUAUAAUGGGUCAGCGACUUACUGUUCGUGGCAAGCUUAACCGUAUAGGGGAGGCGAAGGGAAACCGAGUCUGAUAAGGGCGCAUAGUCGCGGGCAGUAGACCCGAAACCGGGUGAUCUAGUCAUGGCCAGGGUGAAGGUGCCGUAACAGGUACUGGAGGCCCGAACCCACGUCUGUUGCAAAAGACGGGGAUGAGCUGUGAUUAGGAGUGAAAAGCUAAUCGAACCCGGAGAUAGCUGGUUCUCCUCGAAAGCUAUUUAGGUAGCGCCUCGGACGAAUACUACUGGGGGUAGAGCACUGUUAUGGCUAGGGGGUCAUCGCGACUUACCAAACCAUUGCAAACUCCGAAUACCAGUACGUACUAUCCGGGAGACACACGGCGGGUGCUAACGUCCGUCGUGAAAAGGGAAACAACCCAGACCCACAGCUAAGGUCCCAAAUUCACUGCUAAGUGGAAAACGAUGUGGAAAGGCAUAGACAGCCAGGAGGUUGGCUUAGAAGCAGCCACCCUUUAAAGAAAGCGUAAUAGCUCACUGGUCGAGUCGGUCUGCGCGGAAGAUUUAACGGGGCUAAGCAGUGAACCGAAGCUUGGGGUGCGUAAAACUUCGGUUUUAUGCGCGGUAGAGGAGCGUUCCGUAAGCCUGCGAAGGUGGAUUGAGAAGUCUGCUGGAGGUAUCGGAAGUGCGAAUGCUGACAUGAGUAACGAUAAUGCGGGUGAAAAGCCCGCACGCCGAAAGCCCAAGGUUUCCUUGCGCAACGUUAAUCGACGCAGGGUUAGUCGGUCCCUAAGGCGAGGGCGAAAGCCGUAGUCGAUGGGAAGCAGGUUAAUAUUCCUGCACCUCGCGUGAGUGCGAUGGAGGGACGGAGAAGGUUAGGUGUACCGGGCGUUGGUUGUCCCGGGGAAAGGCGGUAGGUUUGGAUCUUUGGCAAAUCCGGGAUCCUUUAAGACCGAGCACCGAGACGAGCCUUUAUGGCGAAGUCACUGAUACCACGCUUCCAGGAAAAGCUCCUAAGCUUCAGCUCACGAAGACCGUACCGUAAACCGACACAGGUGGGUAGGAUGAGAAUACUCAGGCGCUUGAGAGAACUCGGGUGAAGGAACUAGGCAACAUGGCACCGUAACUUCGGGAGAAGGUGCGCCGGUGAGGGUGAAGGACUUGCUCCGUAAGCUCAUGCCGGUCGAAGAUACCAGGCCGCUGCGACUGUUUAUUAAAAACACAGCACUCUGCAAACACGAAAGUGGACGUAUAGGGUGUGACGCCUGCCCGGUGCUGGAAGGUUAAUUGAUGGG
This 1401-nucleotide ribosomal RNA is filed under the name Aurantiochytrium limacinum. RNAcentral's name for it is "partial Bacterial large subunit ribosomal RNA". It matches the Rfam family "Bacterial large subunit ribosomal RNA", at positions 495 to 1888 of the family's 2925-position model. The record is from RNAcentral. Lineage: Eukaryota; Bigyra; Thraustochytrida; Thraustochytriidae.